CUCCUAUUAACAUGCUCAACAGUACAACCACAUGAGUUCACAUAUAAAAGCCUUUGAAAACAAUCCCAAAUAAUUACAAUUGCUAAAUGUAACAAGUCGUUAAGAUCACCUAUGAAUGUGCUAAACUAACUUACACAUUUGAACCAUAGAACUACACUAACAUCGAAUGACAGUACUUAAACUAAGCUGAAACAGUACUAAAUAUUUUGGUUAAGAAUAAUAGCCAAGAAUAUCCAGCUAAUUGAAGAAAGGAAAUCCAUUACCAAUCAUCACAUUUAAAGCCCCUUUUAUUGCUUCAAGCUAAUGAACAUACCUAGAACAACCAAAACUCAAUCAGUAAUUCAGCAAGGAACCAACAAUCCAGCAGAUCUUAGAACAACAACAAACAGCAGGCUAUCAGCCAACUUCUCAUGUUUUGAACCUAGAAGAAAGGAGCAAUUCAACCUAGCUUCUAAAACCCAAGAAAAAUGAAAACACUAAGUGCAAUAGAACAAUACUUGUGAUCUUUUUUGUAUUUUUCUUUCUGAUUUUUAGACUCUCUCAAUGUGUUUGUUUCUUCAGCCAUUUUCUGAACCUUUUAGCCUCUAAACUCUGCCAAUUUAUUAAAAACAAGCCUUAUAUAGAGGACCUUAGGGCAGCAAAAUUGAUUUCACAGUUUUAUUAAUUACCCCUUCCCCAAUUUUUAUUUUUUCACAUUAGACCCUGUAUUUUGAAUCUGCUUGUUAAAACCAACCCAUAUCCCACUUUUCUAGCAGCUUCCUAGGCAGUUAUAAAAGAUUCUCUCUAUCCAUUUCUCUAAACUACCCCUUAAACAGCUACUAUUUACCUUCAGGAUAUUAUCCAUGGGUCAAAUUAACCCAAUAUCCAAAACCAAACCAAAAUGACCGGGCUUUUCUUGAAACCGGGUCAGAGAUGACCCAAAAGCCCAAUCAAACAAAGUGACCAACCCAAUACCAAUUUCAGUGAUUCAUGAAAAGAAGAAAAAUGAAAACAAAUUCGGACUUAAAUGAUUUCAAACUCAAUAAUUUAUAAAGUAAUCCAAAAAAAGGUGGGAUUAACCCAAAUUAAAACCUAAUUAAAAGGUUGAAACAAGAAUGACUCUCAAAGAUGAAGAGCAAACAGUUUUAUGGACAGAAACACAACCUGACAGGAUACUGAAGAAAAAGAGAAGAAAAAUGGAGGUGUAACAGUGAGACAUUACCAUUCAUGGAACGGGAAAUACCCAGGAAAUAGUCCAGGACUCAAAACGCUGGUGGAAUGACAGCUCGGAGUCUUUCAUCGAACCAAAAAAAACUCUCCCCUUAAGCUUGGAAUUGAGGAGUUUUUGUGUUGUUGUUUGAGGGGAAUCAGUGAGAUAUUAGGGGUGAGGGAAUUGAGGAAAUGGUAUGGUGAAACUUUUGGGUUGAUUCGGAGGAACUAGGGUUUUGGUAUUAGUUUUAGAUCCAAAAUUGGAGAGGGUUGAGAGGGAUUCGAGGGACAUUGUUUCGGGGUUUAGGAAGAGGAAGGCACGGGGAUGGUGUGGUGUUAAUUUGGGGGCGGAUUGAGGUUGUGCCGCCACCGGUGGAAGCUUAUGAGUUUGGGGCGGCGGGUUUUCUAGGUUUUAGGUCUGAGAGAGAUGGGAGAAGGUUAACAGGGUCUUAUGUUGUUUG
This 1649-nucleotide long non-coding RNA is filed under the name Nicotiana tabacum (common tobacco). Its description in RNAcentral is "long non-coding RNA (NTAB_LNC007911)". The record is from RNAcentral. Lineage: Eukaryota; Viridiplantae; Streptophyta; Magnoliopsida; Solanales; Solanaceae.